UACGUAGGCAGCGAGCGUUGUUCGGAAUUAUUGGGCGUAAAGGGUGCGUAGGCGGUUUGGUAAGUCUUAUGUGAAAUCUACAGGCUCAACUUGUAGUCUGCAUGAGAAACUGCCGGGCUUGAGUAUGGGAGAGGUGAGUGGAAUUCCUGGUGUAGCGGUGAAAUGCGUAGAUAUCAGGAGGAACACCUGUGGCGAAAGCGGCUCACUGGACCAUAACUGACGCUGAUGCACGAAAGCUAGGGGAGCAAACAGG
Molecule: ribosomal RNA, 253 nt
Filed under: uncultured bacterium
Lineage: Bacteria
Description: partial 16S ribosomal RNA
Rfam family: Bacterial small subunit ribosomal RNA
Source: RNAcentral